UUGAACGCUGGCGGCAGGCCUAAUACAUGCAAGUCGAGCGGAUGAAGGGAGCUUGCUCCUGGAUUCAGCGGCGGACGGGUGAGUAAUGCCUAGGAAUCUGCCUGGUAGUGGGGGAUAACGUCCGGAAACGGGCGCUAAUACCGCAUACGUCCUGAGGGAGAAAGUGGGGGAUCUUCGGACCUCACGCUAUCAGAUGAGCCUAGGUCGGAUUAGCUAGUUGGUGGGGUAAAGGCCUACCAAGGCGACGAUCCGUAACUGGUCUGAGAGGAUGAUCAGUCACACUGGAACUGAGACACGGUCCAGACUCCUACGGGAGGCAGCAGUGGGGAAUAUUGGACAAUGGGCGAAAGCCUGAUCCAGCCAUGCCGCGUGUGUGAAGAAGGUCUUCGGAUUGUAAAGCACUUUAAGUUGGGAGGAAGGGCAGUAAGUUAAUACCUUGCUGUUUUGACGUUACCAACAGAAUAAGCACCGGCUAACUUCGUG
Molecule: ribosomal RNA, 483 nt
Filed under: uncultured bacterium
Lineage: Bacteria
Description: partial 16S ribosomal RNA
Rfam family: Bacterial small subunit ribosomal RNA
Source: RNAcentral